RNAcentral lists this transfer RNA (64 nucleotides) under Chionomys roberti (Robert's snow vole). RNAcentral's name for it is "tRNA-Lys". Lineage: Eukaryota; Metazoa; Chordata; Mammalia; Rodentia; Cricetidae. The record is from RNAcentral.
CAUUACGAAGCUUAGAGCGUUAACCUUUUAAGUUAAAGUUAGAGAUGUUGAGUCUCCGUAGUGA